Molecule: long non-coding RNA, 279 nt
Organism: Pan troglodytes (chimpanzee)
Lineage: Eukaryota; Metazoa; Chordata; Mammalia; Primates; Hominidae
Exons: 3
Source: RefSeq, a predicted model, not a curated record
CAGGGAAGGCUGAGGAAUGCAAGUGAAUGUAAAAACCACCUGGAGGGAAGCAUUGCAGCAAGAAAGGAACAGCAAGUGCAGAGGCCUGAGGCAGAACCAGCAGGGAAAAUGCUUUGAGGUGAGGCAGGUUCCAUGAAAACCUGGAAGAAAUAUUCCUGAGGACCAUCCAACACCAUUUCCCUGAGAGACAAGCUUGAUAUUAUCGGCCAUUGAUGGCUCAUAUUCACCUGUGAGGAAUUACAGAAUGAUCUUUCAAAUCAUUCCUUCUUUAUGAACUGG